ACUCCUACGGGAGGCAGCAGUGAGGAAUAUUGGACAAUGGAUGGAAAUCUGAUCCAGCCAUGCCGCGUGCAGGAAGACGGCCCUAUGGGUUGUAAACUGCUUUUGUAUGGGAGCAAUAAGGGCUAUGUGUAGUCCGAUGAGAGUACCAUACGAAUAAGCACCGGCUAACUCCGUGCCAGCAGCCGCGGUAAUACGGAGGGUGCAAGCGUUAUCCGGAUUUAUUGGGUUUAAAGGGUGCGUAGGCGGUUUGAUAAGUCAGCGGUGAAAUAUUUCAGCUUAACUGGAAGGGUGCCGUUGAUACUGUCGAGCUUGAAUUUAGUUGCUGUGGGUGGAAUGUGUGGUGUAGCGGUGAAAUGCAUAGAUAUCACACAGAAUAUCGAUUGCGAAGGCAGCUCACAAAGCUAAUAUUGACGCUGAUGCACGAAAGUGUGGGGAUCAAACAGGAUUAGAUACCCUGGUAGUC
This 463-nucleotide ribosomal RNA is filed under the name uncultured bacterium. RNAcentral's name for it is "bacterial SSU rRNA". It matches the Rfam family "Bacterial small subunit ribosomal RNA", at positions 335 to 795 of the family's 1533-position model. The record is from RNAcentral.